RNAcentral lists this ribosomal RNA (810 nucleotides) under uncultured Acidobacteriota bacterium. Its description in RNAcentral is "bacterial SSU rRNA". It matches the Rfam family "Bacterial small subunit ribosomal RNA", at positions 58 to 846 of the family's 1533-position model. The record is from RNAcentral. Lineage: Bacteria; Pseudomonadati; Acidobacteriota.
CAAGUCGAACGCGAAAGGGGAGCAAUCCCUGAGUAGAGUGGCAAACGGGUGAGUAACACGUGGGUGACCUGCCUCAGAGUGGGGGAUAACGUCCCGAAAGGGACGCUAAUACCGCAUAACAUCCUGCCUUUGGAAAGGCGGAGAUCAAAGCCGGGGAUCGCAAGACCUGGCGCUUGGAGAGGGGCCCGCGUCUGAUUAGCUAGUUGGUAGGGUAAUGGCCUACCAAGGCGACGAUCAGUAUCCGGCCUGAGAGGGCGGACGGACACACUGGGACUGAGACACGGCCCAGACUCCUACGGGAGGCAGCAGUGGGGAAUUGUUCGCAAUGGGCGCAAGCCUGACGACGCAACGCCGCGUGGAGGAUGAAGAUCUUCGGGUCGUAAACUCCUGUCGAGCGGGACGAACACUUAUCCGGUGAAUACUCGGGUAGGCUGACGGUACCGCUAAAGGAAGCCCCGGCUAACUCCGUGCCAGCAGCCGCGGUAAUACGGGGGGGGCAAGCGUUGUUCGGAAUUACUGGGCGUAAAGGGCUCGUAGGCGGCCAACUAAGUCGGACGUGAAAUCCCCAGGCUCAACCUGGGAACUGCGUCCGAUACUGGAUGGCUUGAAUCCGGGAGAGGGAUGCAGAAUUCCAGGUGUAGCGGUGAAAUGCGUAGAUAUCUGGAGGAAUACCGGUGGCGAAGGCGGCAUCCUGGACCGGCAUUGACGCUGAGGAGCGAAAGCCAGGGGAGCAAACGGGAUUAGAUACCCCGGUAGUCCUGGCCCUAAACGAUGAAUGCUUGGUGUAACGGGUAUCGAUCCCUGUUGUGC